Nelumbo nucifera (sacred lotus) is the source of this 1066-nucleotide long non-coding RNA. RefSeq lists it as uncharacterized. Lineage: Eukaryota; Viridiplantae; Streptophyta; Magnoliopsida; Proteales; Nelumbonaceae. The record is from RefSeq and is a predicted model, not a curated record.
UUGGCUUUCGCCUUUUGCCGGAAAACCUUCAGUACGGUUUGCAGCGGACUGGCGCACUCCAUUGGCAGCCGGAAAAUCUCUCAUCCAACUCGAACUUCCCUCCCAUCAGUUUUUGGCUUUCACCUUUCGCUGGAAAACCUUCAGUAUGGUUUCUAGUGGACCGGCGCACUCCAUUGGUAGCCGGAAAAUCUCUCAUCCAAAGACCGGCGCACUCCAUCGGCAGCCAAAAAGCCUUCAAAAUAUUCACUCCAUCGAUAGCCGGACCAGCGCAUAUCGAAAGGUGUGCACGUCGAGAAAGGCAAAAGGCGAAAUCUCUCAUCACAGCCAGAAAACCUUCAAUAUGGUUUCAACGAUUCCACGCUGCUCUCCUCACGGCUUCAUCAGAACUAGAUAAGCGGGAAUUCACUAGCAGCCAAAACGCUGGCCCUUCAGCAGCAACUACUUCUUUCGAGAGGCGGCAUUGGAAUGGCGAUAUCGCCGUCGUCUGUUCCCGACACUAGCUCUCAAGGCGAACGGAGAAGCUUCAGUUCAAGGGUUGUACAAUGGAUUCGCCGGAUCUCUGUCUCGUACUGCUCAAACAGCAAACCAGCAACAUUUUCACAAUCCACAAUGCACCGGCAACGACGGCACCAGCGGUAGGGGAAGCAGGAGGAGUUGGUGCCGCUCCCCAGAGGCAGCAGAGGGCGAGGGCCGGGAGAGGGUAGGAGGAGUGAUGUUGUUUGUGCAGAAAAAUCGUCACUGGCCGGAGAAUGGGAGGGAGGAGUCUUUUUUCAUUUUUUGUCUUUUAGUGUUCAGUUCAACCGGACGGAUAGUAGUUAACAUUAAACGACCGUUAUGCUAAGGUUGGUUCAAAGGCGUCGACGUGCAUGCCUCCUAUUAGAGGGUUCACGCGCCCCGUGAACCUAAGGGUCCACUAAUCCGGACUCUUAACCCACACCCAACCCAAUUCAACCCACCAAUUUGCCACCCCUGGAUUCAAAUUCGAAUACGAGGUCUCCAAAUCUAAUUGGAUUUCUAAAGAUAAAAUGUAUUUAAAUUUUUAUCUUUUCGUAUUUUAAAAUAUUAA